Molecule: long non-coding RNA, 526 nt
Organism: Hippocampus zosterae (dwarf seahorse)
Lineage: Eukaryota; Metazoa; Chordata; Actinopteri; Syngnathiformes; Syngnathidae
Exons: 2
Source: RefSeq, a predicted model, not a curated record
CGUGUCGUCGCCUUUCCUGGAGGGUUUCUUGGUGGCCCGUGACAGCUUCCUCCUGAACGUAUCGCCGGCCAGGAAGUACAGGAUGGGGUCCACGCAGCUGUUGAGGCUCGCCAGGCCGCGCGUCACCUGGUUCUCUUUCCCACGAGAGUCCACAUUCCAGACGCCCGCUGAGCUCAGCUGGCUUGAACAUCAGUGCGUGAGCUUUGCGCACGUGCAUUCGGUCAGUUAAUGCUUGUUCUUUUCUCCAUGUGCUUUGUCUCCGUUACCCUCUCUUUGCAAUGCGCCACAUCCCCGAUGCCAUUAUUUUAUGACUUGUACAUACAUCACAUGAAAUGGAGAGAGAGCGUGAUGGAUGAUCAGAAAUCCGGUGUCUUGACCUGCUGAUGGAGCAAUGCAUCAGCUGUCAUUCAGCCAAGCUCCUGGUUCAUAAUAUAACCCCAACACACACACACACACACACACACACACACACACACACACACACACACACACACACACACACACACACACACACACACAAUUACAC